GGUUAAGCGACUAAGCGUACACGGUGGAUGCCCUGGCAGUCAGAGGCGAUGAAGGACGUGCUAAUCUGCGAUAAGCGUCGGUAAGGUGAUAUGAACCGUUAUAACCGGCGAUUUCCGAAUGGGGAAACCCAGUGUGAUUCGUCACACUAUCAUUAACUGAAUCCAUAGGUUAAUGAGGCGAACCGGGGGAACUGAAACAUCUAAGUACCCCGAGGAAAAGAAAUCAACCGAGAUUCCCCCAGUAGCGGCGAGCGAACGGGGAGCAGCCCAGAGCCUGAAUCAGUGUGUGUGUUAGUGGAAGCGUCUGGAAAGGCGCGCGAUACAGGGUGACAGCCCCGUACACAAAAAUGCACAUAUUGUGAGCUCGAUGAGUAGGGCGGGACACGUGGUAUCCUGUCUGAAUAUGGGGGGACCAUCCUCCAAGGCUAAAUACUCCUGACUGACCGAUAGUGAACCAGUACCGUGAGGGAAAGGCGAAAAGAACCCCGGCGAGGGGAGUGAAAAAGAACCUGAAACCGUGUACGUACAAGCAGUGGGAGCACAGAGCAAUCUGUGUGACUGCGUACCUUUUGUAUAAUGGGUCAGCGACUUAUAUUCUGUAGCAAGGUUAACCGAAUAGGGGAGCCGAAGGGAAACCGAGUCUUAACUGGGCGUUAAGUUGCAGGGUAUAGACCCGAAACCCGGUGAUCUAGCCAUGGGCAGGUUGAAGGUUGGGUAACACUAACUGGAGGACCGAACCGACUAAUGUUGAAAAAUUAGCGGAUGACUUGUGGCUGGGGGUGAAAGGCCAAUCAAACCGGGAGAUAGCUGGUUCUCCCCGAAAGCUAUUUAGGUAGCGCCUCGUGAAUUCAUCUCCGGGGGUAGAGCACUGUUUCGGCAAGGGGGUCAUCCCGACUUACCAACCCGAUGCAAACUGCGAAUACCGGAGAAUGUUAUCACGGGAGACACACGGCGGGUGCUAACGUCCGUCGUGAAGAGGGAAACAACCCAGACCGCCAGCUAAGGUCCCAAAGUCAUGGUUAAGUGGGAAACGAUGUGGGAAGGCCCAGACAGCCAGGAUGUUGGCUUAGAAGCAGCCAUCAUUUAAAGAAAGCGUAAUAGCUCACUGGUCGAGUCGGCCUGCGCGGAAGAUGUAACGGGGCUAAACCAUGCACCGAAGCUGCGGCAGCGACGCUUAUGCGUUGUUGGGUAGGGGAGCGUUCUGUAAGCCUGUGAAGGUGUGCUGUGAGGCAUGCUGGAGGUAUCAGAAGUGCGAAUGCUGACAUAAGUAACGAUAAAGCGGGUGAAAAGCCCGCUCGCCGGAAGACCAAGGGUUCCUGUCCAACGUUAAUCGGGGCAGGGUGAGUCGACCCCUAAGGCGAGGCCGAAAGGCGUAGUCGAUGGGAAACAGGUUAAUAUUCCUGUACUUGGUGUUACUGCGAAGGGGGGACGGAGAAGGCUAUGUUGGCCGGGCGACGGUUGUCCCGGUUUAAGCGUGUAGGCUGGUUUUCCAGGCAAAUCCGGAAAAUCAAGGCUGAGGCGUGAUGACGAGGCACUACGGUGCUGAAGCAACAAAUGCCCUGCUUCCAGGAAAAGCCUCUAAGCAUCAGGUAACAUCAAAUCGUACCCCAAACCGACACAGGUGGUCAGGUAGAGAAUACCAAGGCGCUUGAGAGAACUCGGGUGAAGGAACUAGGCAAAAUGGUGCCGUAACUUCGGGAGAAGGCACGCUGAUAUGUAGGUGAGGUCCCUCGCGGAUGGAGCUGAAAUCAGUCGAAGAUACCAGCUGGCUGCAACUGUUUAUUAAAAACACAGCACUGUGCAAACACGAAAGUGGACGUAUACGGUGUGACGCCUGCCCGGUGCCGGAAGGUUAAUUGAUGGGGUUAGCGGUAACGCGAAGCUCUUGAUCGAAGCCCCGGUAAACGGCGGUACCGUAACUAUAACGGUCCUAAGGUAGCGAAAUUCCUUGUCGGGUAAGUUCCGACCUGCACGAAUGGCGUAAUGAUGGCCAGGCUGUCUCCACCCGAGACUCAGUGAAAUUGAACUCGCUGUGAAGAUGCAGUGUACCCGCGGCAAGACGGAAAGACCCCGUGAACCUUUACUAUAGCUUGACACUGAACAUUGAGCCUUGAUGUGUAGGAUAGGUGGGAGGCUUUGAAGUGUGGACGCCAGUCUGCAUGGAGCCGGCCUUGAAAUACCACCCUUUAAUGUUUGAUGUUCUAACGUUGGCCCCUGAUCGGGGUUGCGGACAGUGUCUGGUGGGUAGUUUGACUGGGGCGGUCUCCUCCUAAAGAGUAACGGAGGAGCACGAAGGUUGGCUAAUCCUGGUCGGACAUCAGGAGGUUAGUGCAAUGGCAUAAGCCAGCUUGACUGCGAGCGUGACGGCGCGAGCAGGUGCGAAAGCAGGUCAUAGUGAUCCGGUGGUUCUGAAUGGAAGGGCCAUCGCUCAACGGAUAAAAGGUACUCCGGGGAUAACAGGCUGAUACCGCCCAAGAGUUCAUAUCGACGGCGGUGUUUGGCACCUCGAUGUCGGCUCAUCACAUCCUGGGGCUGAAGUAGGUCCCAAGGGUAUGGCUGUUCGCCAUUUAAAGUGGUACGCGAGCUGGGUUUAGAACGUCGUGAGACAGUUCGGUCCCUAUCUGCCGUGGGCGCUGGAGAACUGAGGGGGGCUGCUCCUAGUACGAGAGGACCGGAGUGGACGCAUCACUGGUGUUCGGGUUGUCAUGCCAAUGGCACUGCCCGGUAGCUAAAUGCGGAAGAGAUAAGUGCUGAAAGCAUCUAAGCACGAAACUUGCCCCGAGAUGAGUUCUCCCUGACCCUUUAAGGGUCCUGAAGGAACGUUGAAGACGACGACGUUGAUAGGCCGGGUGUGUAAGCGCAGCGAUGCGUUGAGCUAACCGGUACUAAUGAACCGUGAGGCUUAACCUU
RNAcentral lists this ribosomal RNA (2910 nucleotides) under Escherichia coli. RNAcentral describes it as "23S ribosomal RNA". It matches the Rfam family "Bacterial large subunit ribosomal RNA". Lineage: Bacteria; Pseudomonadati; Pseudomonadota; Gammaproteobacteria; Enterobacterales; Enterobacteriaceae. The record is from RNAcentral.